RNAcentral lists this ribosomal RNA (367 nucleotides) under Priacanthus tayenus (purple-spotted bigeye). RNAcentral describes it as "partial 12S ribosomal RNA". It matches the Rfam family "Bacterial small subunit ribosomal RNA", at positions 1014 to 1522 of the family's 1533-position model. The record is from RNAcentral. Lineage: Eukaryota; Metazoa; Chordata; Actinopteri; Priacanthiformes; Priacanthidae.
CACCCCCCCUUGUUCCUAUCCCGCUUGUAUACCCCCGUCGCAAGCUUACCCUGUGAAGGACUGCUAGUGAGCAAAACUGGUUUGUGCCCAAGACGUCAGGUCGAGGUGCAGCGAAUGGGGGGGAAAGAAAUGGGCUACAUUCCCUGCCCCAGGGAACUACGAAUGAUAUGCUGAAACACAUAUCGGAAGGAGGAUUUAGCAGUAAGCAGAAAAUAGAGCGUUCCGCUGAAGCCGGCCCUGAAGCGUGCACACACCGCCCGUCAUUCUCUCCAAACUUCUUCAACCUGUUAACUAAAACAACAAUAUUCGUGAAGGGGAGGUAAGUCGUAACAUGGUAAGUGUACCGGAAGGUGCACUUGGAAGAAGA